RNAcentral lists this small nucleolar RNA (159 nucleotides) under Propithecus coquereli (Coquerel's sifaka). The record is from RNAcentral. Lineage: Eukaryota; Metazoa; Chordata; Mammalia; Primates; Indriidae.
GGUGCGCAGUUUGCAGAGGGACAGUGCCCAAAGAACAACUGCUGGCCGGCCAGGGAGCUCACGAGCGCAGGUGGUGCGCUGCGUGAGGGGCAGGUCUUCGCUAGCACACGGGUUCUCUGGCCCCAUGAGUGGAGUUCGACGGUAAUCCUCGCUACAAGU